RNAcentral lists this long non-coding RNA (1836 nucleotides) under Brassica napus (rape). RNAcentral's name for it is "long non-coding RNA (BNAP_LNC000271)". The record is from RNAcentral. Lineage: Eukaryota; Viridiplantae; Streptophyta; Magnoliopsida; Brassicales; Brassicaceae.
AACAUUGGUUUCACAUGAUCAUAUACAAAUAUAGAAACAAAGCAAGUGAAGUAGAAUUAAUCAACAAGUCUCUAUUAAGAACCUUCACAACUCUAAACCCACACACAAAAACUUCAACAUAUUCCCUCAAAAUCAAACCUUUGAAACAGUAAAAAAAAUUAAUCAUUUCGUCAACCUUAAUGUGAAGUGUACCGCCGCCAAACUCAGAACCGGACUUGUUAUUGAGCUCCAACCAAGCCUUGUUCUCGUAAAAGCAAGCACCUUUCCACUCCACGGCGUCGUUUUUAAUAGAGGCGGCGCCUAUGUAAGUAGGGAGGAGGUCGACGGCGGAGUUGAGAGAGUUGAGAAGCGGCCAGGAGAGUUGCCUGGGCAAGAGCGGGAGCAGGUCCCGAGGGUGAAAUGGUAAUUUGACGGAUGAAACAGUGAGAACCAUCAGAACGGUAACGGCGAAGAUGAUGGCCGGAGAAGACGAAGAAACCGCCAUGGGUCAAUCAAAGUGUCUCCCUUUCCGUGUCGAACUCGCAACUGUUAAUGACUUGGUUUAACGUAUUUAUUCGAGUAUAUUCCUCGAAUACAUGUAAUCAAAACUUUAUAUUUAUAUAUGUUUUGUUAUGGGGGUGUAAUAGCUAUUUUUAAAAUGUUAGGUGUAAUUCUGUGAGUUUAGAAACUAAGAAGCCAAAUUCUGAAACGUUUCUAUAAGUUUCGCAACUGGUCAUCUCAUCUCUAGUGAUCACUAUAGCCCCACGCAUCUCUUACGUAUACCACAACAUAACUAUACCCUAAUCUCUUCCUCUUUAUCAUUGGCUUAAGUUUUGAAAAAAAGAACUAGAAGAAGACACAUCAUCUCUUUCAAUGGCUGUUUCAUUUCAAACCAAGUACCCUCUAAGACCCAUCACCAACGUCUCAAGAACCAACCGUCCUUCACUUCUCCAUGUUCGUGUCACGUGCUCUGCUACUACCACAACCACCACAAAGACUCAGCCUAACCGUGAAAAAAAGCUUGUGGUUGAGAAACGUUUUGUGAGUCCUCCUCUUUCCAACGACCCAACUCUGCAGUCUACAUGGACUCACCGCUUAUGGGUUGCAGCUGGUUGCACCACAUUGGUGGCCUCUUUAGCUAAGUCUAUCAUCGGAGGGGUUGGUUCUCACCUCUGGCUCGAACCAGCUUUAGCCGGUUAUGCAGGGUACGUCUUGGCUGAUCUUGGCUCUGGUGUGUACCACUGGGCUAUAGAUAACUACGGAGAUGAGUCAACGCCACUUGUAGGAGCAUCUAUAAAUUGCCUAACUACUAGUGAUUUCUUGAACAUUGGUUUCACAUGAUCAUAUACAAAUAUAGAAACAAAGCAAGUGAAGUAGAAUUAAUCAACAAGUCUCUAUUAAGAACCUUCACAACUCUAAACCCACACACAAAAACUUCAACAUAUUCCCUCAAAAUCAAACCUUUGAAACAGUAAAAAAAAUUAAUCAUUUCGUCAACCUUAAUGUGAAGUGUACCGCCGCCAAACUCAGAACCGGACUUGUUAUUGAGCUCCAACCAAGCCUUGUUCUCGUAAAAGCAAGCACCUUUCCACUCCACGGCGUCGUUUUUAAUAGAGGCGGCGCCUAUGUAAGUAGGGAGGAGGUCGACGGCGGAGUUGAGAGAGUUGAGAAGCGGCCAGGAGAGUUGCCUGGGCAAGAGCGGGAGCAGGUCCCGAGGGUGAAAUGGUAAUUUGACGGAUGAAACAGUGAGAACCAUCAGAACGGUAACGGCGAAGAUGAUGGCCGGAGAAGACGAAGAAACCGCCAUGGGUCAAUCAAAGUGUCUCCCUUUCCGUGUCGAACUCGCAACUGUUAAUG